UGGGGAAUUUUGGACAAUGGGCGCAAGCCUGAUCCAGCCAUUCCGCGUGCAGGAUGAAGGCCCUCGGGUUGUAAACUGCUUUUGUACGGAACGAAACGGCGCUUUCUAAUACAGAGCGCUAAUGACGGUACCGUAAGAAUAAGCACCGGCUAACUACGUGCCAGCAGCCGCGGUAAUACGUAGGGUGCAAGCGUUAAUCGGAAUUACUGGGCGUAAAGCGUGCGCAGGCGGUGAUGUAAGACAGAUGUGAAAUCCCCGGGCUCAACCUGGGAACUGCAUUUGUGACUGCAUCGCUGGAGUGCGGCAGAGGGGGAUGUAAUUCCGCGUGUAGCAGUGAAAUGCGUAGAUAUGCGGAGGAACACCGAUGGCGAAGGCAAUCCCCUGGGCCUGCAGUGACGCUCAUGCACGAAGGCGUGGGGAGCAAACAGG
This 429-nucleotide ribosomal RNA is filed under the name Bacillota bacterium. RNAcentral describes it as "Firmicutes bacterium partial 16S ribosomal RNA". It matches the Rfam family "Bacterial small subunit ribosomal RNA", at positions 355 to 776 of the family's 1533-position model. Lineage: Bacteria; Bacillati; Bacillota. The record is from RNAcentral.